UGGAGAGUUCCAGUUGUGUUUCGUCGUUCUCGGGACAACCUACUGCCUAGUCUUCUUCUUCCUUCGGUUUCAAAACUCAAUUUCUUUCGCAUGGGAACUUUUUAAAACGCGUUCGAAAAUUUCUCAGGGCUCCUUCUUUUUAUUUCCAGUCCCGUCGAAGAUCAAAUCCGGAGAAAUGACCACGAACAUUUGUGGACGGCAUAAACAUUUCAGAAACCCCAAUCGGUCUCGUUCCGUGUCAAUUUAGUCAAUGGGUUUGAAACCGACCGAAUACAAGAAAAGAGUUUUAUUUUAAAGGAGUCACAGAGUCAAUACUGAGUAUAACUAAAAAGGUAUAAUAAAUAUGGCGUGAUGAACGAAGAAGAAUUGGUGCAACGAGCUGCUGAUGAACGUGCAGCAAUCGUUGCCAAAUAUAGACUUGGUAGGAGAGAUGGAGCCAAGAUUGAUUCCUGGGAAGAGCCGACAUUCGAAAUAUACCAUGUCCUCGACAGAUAUGGGUUUAUUCACGACAGGAAUAAACAUUACAGUGAUGAGAGGAUCACCGAAUCAGCUGGCCCGGCUGAGAUCAAGAUUGAAAGGGAAAGGGAGAAAAAAUGGCUCAAGAUGCUCUCCCAGUGGAAUCUGGUCUCCGGGACGGAAAAGCUCAAACGAAGGGUCUUCAAAGGAAUACCAAACAGUUUAAGAGGGAAGGCAUGGAUGCAGAUACUCAAUCUGGAAAAUCUCCGCAAAGAUCAGCAUGGAAAAUAUCAGGAGAUGCGAGAACUUGCUUGGAAAUGGUCACCUGAUAUUAGACAAAUAGAUUUGGAUGUAAAUAGAACAUAUCGUGACCAUAUUAUGUUCAGGGAACGCUACAAUUCUAAGCAACAGGAGCUGUUCAAUGUUCUCGGUGCUUAUAGUAUGUAUAACUUGGAAAUUGGCUAUUGCCAAGGGAUGUCGCAGAUAGCAGCACUUCUACUUAUGUAUUUAGAUGAAGAGGAUGCUUUCUGGGCUUUGUCAAUAUUAGUUUCGGAUAAAAGAUACAAUAUGCAUGGUUUCUUUAUUCCCGGAUUCCCUAAAUUAUUGCGUUACCAGGAACAUCAUGAUAAAAUCAUGCAUAAAUUUUUGCCUAAAUUAAAAAAGCAUUUGGACAAAAAUGGUGUUGAUACUGGAAUAUAUACAUUAAAAUGGUUCUUUCAAUGUUUUUUAGAUAGGAUACCUUUCAGAUUGACUUUAAGAGUAUGGGACGUUUAUUUAAUGAUAGGGGAAAGAGUGCUGACCGCUAUGGCUUACAACCUGUUGAAAUUACACAGACGAAAGUUAAGUAGCAUAGGGAUGGAUGAUAUACUUCAUUUCCUUCAAGUGCAUUUAGAAAAAAAGUUCGAAGUAGAUGAUGAUGUAGCCAUGGAAAGUCUUGCAAGGUGCUUAGAAGAACUGCGGAAAAGUAAAUUGGAUUAUGCAGGGCUACCACCUCCACAUGAGCUUCCGAAACAAGCAUUCGGAAUUUUUAAAGAGCCUACCUUUGAACAAAAGGUUGGUAGACGAAGCAUGGAGUUCAGUAAUGUUGAGAAAUCUGCUCGUGAAAGUGUCAUACUUAGAAGGGAUACGGCUGCAGCCGCUGCGCUGGUUGACUCUCCGACUCAAGAAAUCGCUCCAAACGGUCACGCCAGACAUUCCCACGAUGAGACGACACUCCCUGAUCCUCAAGCCUCUUCAAACCCCACUUUUCCAAUCAUCGCAACAAAAUUCAGCCUGCCCCUGAAUAGCGAUGAAUGAGUGAGGCAUUAACUCAAUCAUACACGCACAAAACCUUCCUUGGAUUAGAGUUUUCGAGACCAACAGGACACUGACUGCCGACUCCUUGAUAUUUCUUUAUAAUAAUGGGUUCCAAAUUUUCCCUAGAACAAAGCAUGGAUGAUGGAAGUUCAUUACUCGGUGAAGGCUCUCAUAGGUCAUUAGCUGAAACGAGCAUC
This 1949-nucleotide unclassified non-coding RNA is filed under the name Cimex lectularius (bed bug). RNAcentral's name for it is "uSP6 N-terminal-like protein, transcript variant X3". The record is from RNAcentral. Lineage: Eukaryota; Metazoa; Arthropoda; Insecta; Hemiptera; Cimicidae.